GAGGAAAGAGGGAGGCGUGCUUAACACAUGCAAGUCGAACGGAACGGCCCUGCUUUUGUGGGGUGCUCGAGUGGCGAACGGGUGAGUAACACGUGAGUAACCUGCCCUUGACUUUGGGAUAACUUCAGGAAACUGGGGCUAAUACCGGAUAGGAGCUCCUGCUGCAUGGUGGGGGUUGGAAAGUUUCGGCGGUUGGGGAUGGACUCGCGGCUUAUCAGCUUGUUGGUGGGGUAGUGGCUUACCAAGGCUUUGACGGGUAGCCGGCCUGAGAGGGUGACCGGCCACAUUGGGACUGAGAUACGGCCCAGAAUCCUACGGGAGGCAGCAGUGGGGAAUAUUGCACAAUGGGCGGAAGCCUGAUGCAGAAACGCCGCGUGCGGGAUGACGGCCUUCGGGUUGUAAACCGCUUUCGCCUGUGACGAAGCGUGAGUGACGGUAAUGGGUAAAGAAGCACCGGCUAACUACGUG
This 468-nucleotide ribosomal RNA is filed under the name uncultured bacterium. RNAcentral describes it as "partial 16S ribosomal RNA". It matches the Rfam family "Bacterial small subunit ribosomal RNA", at positions 38 to 507 of the family's 1533-position model. The record is from RNAcentral.